GCAGUCGACGCUUCUUUUUCCACCGGAGCUUGCUCCACCGGAAAAAGAGGAGUGGCGAACGGGUGAGUAACACGUGGGUAACCUGCCCAUCAGAAGGGGAUAACACUUGGAAACAGGUGCUAAUACCGUAUAACAAUCGAAACCGCAUGGUUUUGAUUUGAAAGGCGCUUUCGGGUGUCGCUGAUGGAUGGACCCGCGGUGCAUUAGCUAGUUGGUGAGGUAACGGCUCACCAAGGCGACGAUGCAUAGCCGACCUGAGAGGGUGAUCGGCCACAUUGGGACUGAGACACGGCCCAAACUCCUACGGGAGGCAGCAGUAGGGAAUCUUCGGCAAUGGACGAAAGUCUGACCGAGCAACGCCGCGUGAGUGAAGAAGGUUUUCGGAUCGUAAAACUCUGUUGUUAGAGAAGAACAAGGAUGAGAGUAACUGUUCAUCCCUUGACGGUAUCUAACCAGAAAGCCACGGCUAACUACGUGCCAGCAGCCGCGGUAAUACGUAGGUGGCAAGCGUUGUCCGGAUUUAUUGGGCGUAAAGCGAGCGCAGGCGGUUUCUUAAGUCUGAUGUGAAAGCCCCCGGCUCAACCGGGGAGGGUCAUUGGAAACUGGGAGACUUGAGUGCAGAAGAGGAGAGUGGAAUUCCAUGUGUAGCGGUGAAAUGCGUAGAUAUAUGGAGGAACACCAGUGGCGAAGGCGGCUCUCUGGUCUGUAACUGACGCUGAGGCUCGAAAGCGUGGGGAGCAAACAGGAUUAGAUACCCUGGUAGUCCACGCCGUAAACGAUGAGUGCUAAGUGUUGGAGGGUUUCCGCCCUUCAGUGCUGCAGCUAACGCAUUAAGCACUCCGCCUGGGGAGUACGACCGCAAGGUUGAAACUCAAGGAAUUGACGGGGGCCCGCACAAGCGGUGGAGCAUGUG
RNAcentral lists this ribosomal RNA (913 nucleotides) under Enterococcus hirae. RNAcentral's name for it is "bacterial SSU rRNA". It matches the Rfam family "Bacterial small subunit ribosomal RNA", at positions 57 to 943 of the family's 1533-position model. The record is from RNAcentral. Lineage: Bacteria; Bacillati; Bacillota; Bacilli; Lactobacillales; Enterococcaceae.